AGAACGAACGCUGGCGGCAGGCUUAACACAUGCAAGUCGAGCGCCCAGCAAUGGGAGCGGCGGACGGGUGAGUAACACGUGGGAACAUGCCCUUUGGUACGGGACAACUCAGGGAAACUUGAGCUAAUACCGUAUGUGCCGGUAACGGGAAAGAUUUAUCGCCAAAGGAAUGGCCCGCGUCCGAUUAGCUAGUUGGUGAGGUAAUGGCUCACCAAGGCACCGAUCGGUAGCUGGUUUGAGAGAACGACCAGCCACACUGGGACUGAGACACGGCCCAGACUCCUACGGGAGGCAGCAGUGGGGAAUCUUGGACAAUGGGGGCAACCCUGAUCCAGCCAUGCCGCGUGAGUGAUGAAGGCCUUCGGGUUGUAAAACUCUUUACGACGGGGACAGUAAUGACGGUACCCGUAGAAGAAGCUCCGGCUAACUUCGCGCCAGCAGCCGC
This 445-nucleotide ribosomal RNA is filed under the name uncultured bacterium. Its description in RNAcentral is "SSU rRNA". It matches the Rfam family "Bacterial small subunit ribosomal RNA", at positions 26 to 518 of the family's 1533-position model. The record is from RNAcentral.